RNAcentral lists this ribosomal RNA (464 nucleotides) under uncultured bacterium. Its description in RNAcentral is "partial 16S ribosomal RNA". It matches the Rfam family "Bacterial small subunit ribosomal RNA", at positions 28 to 507 of the family's 1533-position model. The record is from RNAcentral.
GACGAACGCUGGCGGCGUGCUUAACACAUGCAAGUCGAACGGUAAGGCCCUUUCGGGGGUACACGAGUGGCGAACGGGUGAGUAACACGUGGGUGAUCUGCCCUGCACUUUGGGAUAAGCCUGGGAUACUGGGUCUAAUACCGGAUAGGACUACGCGAUGCAUGUCGUGUGGUGGAAAGCUUUUGCGGUGUGGGAUGGGCCCGCGGCCUAUCAGCUUGUUGGUGGGGUGAUGGCCUACCAAGGCGACGACGGGUAGCCGGCCUGAGAGGGUGUCCGGCCACACUGGGACUGAGAUACGGCCCAGACUCCUACGGGAGGCAGCAGUGGGGAAUAUUGCACAAUGGGCGCAAGCCUGAUGCAGCGACGCCGCGUGGGGGAUGACGGCCUUCGGGUUGUAAACCCCUUUCAGCACAGACGAAGCGUAAGUGACGGUAUGUGCAGAAGAAGCACCGGCCAACUACGUG